This 532-nucleotide ribosomal RNA is filed under the name uncultured bacterium. RNAcentral describes it as "partial 16S ribosomal RNA". It matches the Rfam family "Bacterial small subunit ribosomal RNA", at positions 30 to 507 of the family's 1533-position model. The record is from RNAcentral.
AUUGAACGCUGGCGGCAGGCUUAACACAUGCAAGUCGAGCGGCCUCACCACUCAAUUUAUUUUGCGACAUUGAGAGAUGUUGAAAGUAAGAAGAGAUAAAUUGAGUGGUGAGGUAGCGGCGGACGGGUGAGUAAUGCUUAGGAAUCUGCCAUUUAGUGGGGGACAACAUUCCGAAAGGGAUGCUAAUACCGCAUACGCCCUACGGGGGAAAGCAGGGGAUCUUCGGACCUUGCGCUAAAUGAUGAGCCUAAGUCGGAUUAGCUAGUUGGUGGGGUAAAGGCCUACCAAGGCGACGAUCUGUAGCGGGUCUGAGAGGAUGAUCCGCCACACUGGGACUGAGACACGGCCCAGACUCCUACGGGAGGCAGCAGUGGGGAAUAUUGGACAAUGGGCGGAAGCCUGAUCCAGCCAUGCCGCGUGUGUGAAGAAGGCCUUUUGGUUGUAAAGCACUUUAAGCGAGGAGGAGGCUACCUGGAUUAAUACUCUAGGAUAGUGGACGUUACUCGCAGAAUAAGCACCGGCUAACUCUGUG